UUGUGUGUUGUGCCAUUAAAGAUUGUUGUC
This 30-nucleotide non-coding RNA is filed under the name Macaca fascicularis (crab-eating macaque). Lineage: Eukaryota; Metazoa; Chordata; Mammalia; Primates; Cercopithecidae. RNAcentral also lists the same sequence under 1 other name. The record is from RNAcentral.